AUCCUCUAUGGUGUCUUGAUCACCAAAACUAUAAUUCUAUUUAUACCUUUGUCUUGAUCUUCAUAGGAUUUUAUUUUUCUCUUUCUUUCUUUUUAAGUUGAGCACUUGAUCACCUUCUUAUUAUCACCACCAUCACUAUGAUCCUCUAGGCUCCAACACUUGGCAUACGACUUAUUAUUUCAUAUAUAUCUAUACACUUAGCAUAAUGAUUAGUCCCUAUGUUCCAUCAAUUAUCAAAAUCAAACUAGGGCUUUCAGCCCCCUCCUGCACCCCAAAAAAGUAAUAAUUGGCUCCCAUAUUUCAAUGGGUCUGUUGCAUUGAUCACAGGAUCGGAUGGUCCGUUGGCAUGGAGCUCGAUCUCAUAUUUACUAAUAAGAGCCUGGCAAGCUAGAUUGUUAUUAAUAACAACAUAAUCGAUUUAUAGGGUGUUUGGUCUGCAAAAUAAAGAGACUCGCCAUCAUCUCAUUCUCUAAUUUUUUUAUUUAGGUGACGUUUGGCACAACUUUGCUUCACUAAUGAACUUAUCUUUUUUUUUUUUUUGCUUUAGCUCUCUAUGAGCAGCCGUGUACAAGUGAAGUUGAAGCUAUUUUAGUGAAACGUUUAGCAAAAUGCUUUAGCUCUCUAUGAGCAGUCGUAUGUAAGUGAAGUUGAAGCUAUUUUAGUGAAACGUUUAGCAAAAUAAUUAUACACGUGCAACAACUUAAAAUACGUUUUUACAAAAUCCGGACCACCAGAGUGUGUGUGGGAGAACCUACUGUUUUAGCCUCAUCUCCAUCCAACCAUUGUGAAGGCACGUUUAGCCCUUGUUUAGUUGAGAAGGUGUAAAAAAAAAAUUGAUACUGUAGCACUUUCGUUUUUAUUUGGCAAUUAUUAUCUAAUCAUAGACUAACUAGGCUCAAAAGAUUCGUCUCACAAAUUACAGACAAACUGUGUAAUUAGUUAUCUUUUUUAUUUAUAUUUAAUAUUCCACGCAUGUGUCGCAAGAUUUAAUAUGAGGGGAAAUCUUGAAUUUUUUUAGGUUUUUGGGAUGAACUAAACAAGGCCUU
This 1046-nucleotide long non-coding RNA is filed under the name Sorghum bicolor (sorghum). RNAcentral describes it as "long non-coding RNA (SBIC_LNC011745)". The record is from RNAcentral. Lineage: Eukaryota; Viridiplantae; Streptophyta; Magnoliopsida; Poales; Poaceae.